UGGAGUGACUAGUGUGGUGGGUGUGGGAAAAGGCGAAGGUGGCAGGCCGGUGGACCGGGGCCUAACGCUUGGUUAGCGCCUGGGACCUCAGGGACAGGGCGGGGCAGCGCUGUGCUGGCAUCUGGCAGCGGCCCCGAUGGUCUCGCUUCGGGCGCUAGAGAGGCUGCUCGCCCUAGGACUCUGAGCCCCCCUUUUUGUUUCUAAGUCCGCACUUGGACUGGAGGGAGGAAAAGAUGGACAAGGUCGUGGGUACAGACCUGGAAACUGUGACCUUGAGCGAAUGGCUUCGUUUGCCUGAGCUUCCUUCUUUGUAAAAUGAAGGGUUUGAAUUAGAUGAUAGAAAGCUUGCCAGUGCAGUGUGAUGGAAGGAAAUGAGGCACUGGAUGAGCUGAUGAAAUGUCCAUUUUGGGCGGGUUGGUGAAUCGACAGACUGCAGCACCCGGAUUCUCUGCCCAGGAUCCUAAGUUUUUAUUGGGCUCCCUCCCUGCUUAAAAAAGUACAUAGUCCGUUACUCGCCCUGCCUAUCCCAAGAAGAGUAAGAGAAACAGCGAAUCUUUUUCAGCCUCAGGUGAGAAGAGGAAUGACCUCCCUCUGACUACAUCUUCCAUCUGACGCUACACAGGCUUGCUAUCCAGUCUUGCUAUCCAGUCUCAGAUUCCUAGGUGCUAUCCAUCUGCACCAGCACAAGUGGGAGAAGAAUCUGUGUGUGACUGUAUUGGAAGUUUCUUCAUCUGUGCUGUGUCCCUGAUGGUAUUGCUUCUAGUCAUCUGCAACAUGUGACUCACAGUGAACUGCAGAUAUUUGGAAUUACCCCAGAUCUUUGAGAUCUGAGACUUGGUCCCUCUGAAGGGAGUAGGAAAAGUUUGAGAUUUCUUGCAUUUGUUCUCCAACCUUUUUCUUUUUCUCUAUGGUAACUUUUUUUUUGGGGGGGUAGGGGGGAUAGGGAUAGGUAUUA
Molecule: long non-coding RNA, 955 nt
Organism: Phascolarctos cinereus (koala)
Lineage: Eukaryota; Metazoa; Chordata; Mammalia; Diprotodontia; Phascolarctidae
Source: RefSeq, a predicted model, not a curated record